GGGGCAUUAGCUCAGUUGGUAGAGCGCCUGCUUUGCAAGCAGGAGGUCAGCGGUUCGAACCCGCUAUGCUCCACCA
Molecule: transfer RNA, 76 nt
Filed under: Alphaproteobacteria bacterium
Lineage: Bacteria; Pseudomonadati; Pseudomonadota; Alphaproteobacteria
Description: tRNA-Ala
Rfam family: tRNA
About the family: Transfer RNA (tRNA) molecules are approximately 80 nucleotides in length. Their secondary structure includes four short double-helical elements and three loops (D, anti-codon, and T loops).
Source: RNAcentral